This 279-nucleotide unclassified non-coding RNA is filed under the name plant metagenome. RNAcentral's name for it is "partial contains small subunit ribosomal RNA, internal transcribed spacer 1, and 5.8S ribosomal RNA". The record is from RNAcentral.
UCUCCGUUGGUGAACCAGCGGAGGGAUCAUUACAGAGUUUUCACAACUCCCAACCCUUGCGAACCGUACCCAUUCUGUUCUCGUUGCUUCCGGCGGGGGGGACGGGGGGGCCCGAAACGGCCUCCCCGCCCCGCCCGCCGGGGGAGGUGGGCCCUCCGAACCUUACUAUCCCAACCACCAAAAACUGAAUGAGGAAACAAACAAAAUAAUCAAAAAUUUCAAAAACGGAUCACUUGGAUCUGGCAUCGCUGAAGUACGCAGCAGAUCGGAAAAGCACAC